Molecule: unclassified non-coding RNA, 333 nt
Filed under: uncultured Glomerales
Lineage: Eukaryota; Fungi; Glomeromycota; Glomeromycetes; Glomerales; Glomeraceae
Also listed under: 1 other name
Description: sequence contains 18S rRNA gene
Source: RNAcentral
CCCAACUAUCCCUAUUAAUCAUUACGUCGAUCCUAGAAACCAACAAAAUAAGAUCAAACGUCCUAUUUCAUUAUUCCAUGCUAAUGUAUUCAAGCGUGUGCCUGCUUUAAACACUCUAAUUUUUUCAAAGUAACAGUCCUGAUUCCCCAUAACACCAAAUUAAUGACAUCAUAGUUCGUCAGAAGGGAGAAAUCAAUAAUACCAGUACAUACCGAAGUACGACCGAUAUAUUGAUCCCGAAAUUCAACUACGAGCUUUUUAACUGCAACAACUUUAAUAUACGCUAUUGGAGCUGGAAUUACCGCGGCUGCUGGCACCAGACUUGCCCUCCAA